GUCUGUCCCAAAACCUAGGGAGCUCUCUACAUAGACAGCUUCUUACGUCAUGGGAUGCGCGUUCCCGAGAAGUAGGCUGUCCCAAUUCUUAGAUACCUUAAAAUGCUGUCUACUAAGAUACCUUAUUCUGACCCUGUAAUAAGAGAGCAUUAGACCCUUCCUCAGCCGGUAAGGCAAUCCCAUGAUGCAGCGCGGGCAGCACAGCGUAGCUCAACUUCUUCCAUCAUGGCGGACGGAAGUGGAUCGGCCAGCGGCGAAGUCAUUUUCAAAUGACUAUUGUUCUGGAAUUGGGGCUUGCGGACAAAGUAAAAGAAAUGGGAAAACUUAAAAAAUAAAUACAAUG
Long non-coding RNA from Astyanax mexicanus (Mexican tetra), 343 nucleotides. RefSeq lists it as uncharacterized. The record is from RefSeq and is a predicted model, not a curated record. NCBI's taxonomy places the organism in Eukaryota, Metazoa, Chordata, Actinopteri, Characiformes, Acestrorhamphidae. The transcript is spliced from 2 exons.